RNAcentral lists this ribosomal RNA (518 nucleotides) under uncultured bacterium. RNAcentral's name for it is "partial 16S ribosomal RNA". It matches the Rfam family "Bacterial small subunit ribosomal RNA", at positions 28 to 523 of the family's 1533-position model. The record is from RNAcentral.
GACGAACGCUGGCGGCGUGCUUAACACAUGCAAGUCGAACGGAGAAUUUAUUUCGGUAAAUUCUUAGUGGCGAACGGGUGAGUAACGCGUGGGCAACCUGCCCUUCAGAUGGGGACAACAUCCCGAAAGGGGUGCUAAUACCGAAUACGAUCACGCUGCCGCCUGGCGGGGGGAUGAAAGAUGGCCUCUAUCUAUAAGCUAUCGCUGAAGGAUGGGCCGGCGUCUGAUUAGCUAGUUGGUGGGGUAACGGCCUACCAAGGCGAUGAUCAGUAGCCGGUCUGAGAGGAUGAACGGCAACAUUGGGACUGAGACACGGCCCAAACUCCUACGGGAGGCAGCAGUGGGGAAUAUUCCGCAAUGGACGAAAGUCUGACGGAGCAACGCCGCGUGAGUGAUGAAGGUUUUCGGACUGUAAAACUCUGUUGUUUAGGACGAAAGUGCCUGUUGCAAAUAGUUGCAGGUAUUGACGGUACUGAACGAGGAAGCCACGGCUAACUACGUGCCAGCCGCCGCAGUAA